Non-coding RNA from Cinara cedri, 298 nucleotides. NCBI's taxonomy places the organism in Eukaryota, Metazoa, Arthropoda, Insecta, Hemiptera, Aphididae. The record is from the annotation of a GenBank genome assembly.
GCAACAAUCCCGGAGUCUUUUAUUAAUUUAUAUCAAUUUUAUGUUUUUUAAGGAUCCGUAUUCGCGGCAUACACAUCAUUUGGCAUUGAUUCUGCGUAUAUAAUCACCGCAUCAGUCAUGUCAGCUCCGACCGCGUUAAGUUUUUCCAAGUUGAUUUUCCCAGAAACACAAAAAUCUAAGAACAACGUUGAAGAAAUCGCUUCUAAAAAGUACGUUUAUAAUAUAGUGGGUGUAUAUACUUUAUCCGAAAGAGUUUUAAAAAUGUAUUCUAAGAUAAUUCUAAAAAAAACUACUCGAA